Molecule: long non-coding RNA, 1349 nt
Organism: Daphnia pulicaria
Lineage: Eukaryota; Metazoa; Arthropoda; Branchiopoda; Diplostraca; Daphniidae
Exons: 2
Source: RefSeq, a predicted model, not a curated record
UACUGCGCGUAGGCGCUUUCGUCAAAAAUAAGAACAAAACAAAAUUAGAUUUCGAGCGAAACAUACAACAGGUGAAAACUGGUUUGUUGUUUUGUUUGAUUCCUAUCGCCAUUUACAGCAGUUGUUAGUUCUAUGACUCAGCGCAACCUCGUGACGUGACGACAUGUCAGUUUCACGUCAUCCCUCAUCAACUUUGACUUAGUUAUGCGUGCGUGAAGUUAAAGGGUCCAAUCAGUGCGCGAAUCAAACCGAACAGCACGAUACACGAUGGCAACCAGCGUGCCAAAAAAACAAACGAACACAUCCACCUUUUACUUAAGACUGAACUUCAUGAAUACAGAACACUACGAGCUCGGUACAUUUGUGGCAGGUAGGCCUGAUUGAACAUUAAUGUUAUACUCAAAUUCGUGUCGUUGAAAUUUUAUUUAACGUUAUACCUUUAUCACUUUAAUUUGAUUUUUGUAUUCACAAUAUACCCUGAGAAGCUGGCAACCUUCCCCGCAUUUUUAAAAUGGUUUGGAACAGCUAAGUUUAAUUGCAUCAUCCGCCCAGCACCAAAUCGAAAUUUAGCAUGACUGAAAUUGUUCUCGUUUUGUUUCUCGUCACAACGUUACCCUGACGACUGUUGAAGUAACAAAAAGCUUCUUUUCCUUCUCGAUUUGGCAUGUAUGUAGCGGAGCUGGCCGCCGUCAACUCCACUGUUGCAUAUGUCUUGCACAAUCGAGACUGUAAUUUGUAAAACAUUCGCAUCAUUCACAGAAGAAUGAAGGGACUCGUCCGCGUGAUAUUCUUGUUAUCGGUCGUGACGGGACUCGUUUCCAGUUAUUUGACUUCGAUCGAAGGCAAAAAUUUGCCCCAGGUGCCCCCUGUCAAGAAUUCAAUUUAUUUCUAAUUUACGACCAACCUAAAUAAAUAUAGCAUGUGCAACUUUUUUCAAUACCAACAAAUCAACAAUUCAUAAUUUAAGCAAAACUAGAGCUUUUUACUUUUAGUACAUAUUCGAAUAAAAGCAUGUUAUGCUUGAAGCUAGGGGAAAUGUACAUACUAAAAGAUACUAAAAACUAGGCCACCACUAUACAGGGUUUCCUCAGCUAAUCGUGAUUGGGGAUAAAGACUCUUAUUUUCAUUAUGGGAAUCUAUUCGAUUACAGUGUUUUUUUUCUCGUCUUCUAAAUAAUUGGAAUUCAAAAGUAAUUAAGCUCUGCUUCGCUGUAUAAGUAUGAAACUAUUUGGCAACAAAUUCUAAAGAAAUAUAUAAUGAAUAAACAUCUAAUACUGGCUAUGUGUUUCAGCCAUGUGCGAUAAUAGAAUCCAAUCAAUAUGGAUAUUAAUGAAGCAACUUUUCGGAGU